GGAGGAUGGCCCUCCGGGAUCGGCUUUCAGGAGCGGGUCUCAAACCAGUCCGAGCUGCUGCGGUAAAGAGCCGUGGUGGUGAGCGCCGGAUGAAAAGUCCGGACGAGAUCCGAGCAGGU
RNAcentral lists this non-coding RNA (119 nucleotides) under Rhizobium esperanzae. Lineage: Bacteria; Pseudomonadati; Pseudomonadota; Alphaproteobacteria; Hyphomicrobiales; Rhizobiaceae. The record is from RNAcentral.